RNAcentral lists this ribosomal RNA (602 nucleotides) under uncultured bacterium. RNAcentral's name for it is "bacterial SSU rRNA". It matches the Rfam family "Bacterial small subunit ribosomal RNA", at positions 88 to 676 of the family's 1533-position model. The record is from RNAcentral.
AAAGCGAGCGGCGGAUGGGUGAGUAACACGUGGGGAACCUGCCCCUAAGUCUGGGAUACCAUUUGGAAACAGGUGCUAAUACCGGAUAAUAAAGCAGAUCGCAUGAUCAGCUUUUGAAAGGCGGCGUAAGCUGUCGCUAAGGGAUGGCCCCGCGGUGCAUUAGCUAGUUGGUAAGGUAACGGCUUACCAAGGCGACGAUGCAUAGCCGAGUUGAGAGACUGAUCGGCCACAUUGGGACUGAGACACGGCCCAAACUCCUACGGGAGGCAGCAGUAGGGAAUCUUCCACAAUGGACGCAGGUCUGAUGGAGCAACGCCGCGUGAGUGAAGAAGGUUUUCGGAUCGUAAAGCUCUGUUGUUGGUGAAGAAGGAUAGAGGUAGUAACUGGCCUUUAUUUGACGGUAAUCAACCAGAAAGUCACGGCUAACUACGUGCCAGCAGCCGCGGUAAUACGUAGGUGGCAAGCGUUGUCCGGAUUUAUUGGGCGUAAAGCGAGCGCAGGCGGAAAAAUAAGUCUAAUGUGAAAGCCCUCGGCUUAACCGAGGAACUGCAUCUGAAACUGUCUUUCUUGAGUGCACAAGAGGAGAGUGGAACUCCAUGUGU